RNAcentral lists this ribosomal RNA (465 nucleotides) under uncultured bacterium. Its description in RNAcentral is "bacterial SSU rRNA". It matches the Rfam family "Bacterial small subunit ribosomal RNA", at positions 338 to 795 of the family's 1533-position model. The record is from RNAcentral.
CCUACGGGUGGCAGCAGUAGGGAAUCUUCGGCAAUGGACGAAAGUCUGACCGAGCAACGCCGCGUGAGUGAAGAAGGUUUUCGGAUCGUAAAACUCUGUUGUUAGAGAAGAACAAGUAGGAGAGUAACUGCUCUUACCUUGACGGUAUCUAACCAGAAAGCCACGGCUAACUACGUGCCAGCAGCCGCGGUAAUACGUAGGUGGCAGGCGUUGUCCGGAUAUAUUGGGCGUAAAGCGAGCGCAGGCGGUCUUUUAAGUCUGAUGUGAAAGCCCUCGGCUCAAUCGAGGAAGGUCAUUGGAAACUGGAGGACUUGAGUGCAGAAGAGGAGAGUGGAAUUCCAUGUGUAGCGGUGAAAUGCGUAGACAUAUGGAGGAGCACCAGUGGCGAAGGCGACUCUCUGGUCUGUAACUGACGCUGAGGCUCGAAAGCGUGGGGAGCAAACAGGAUUAGAUACCCCGGUAGUC